This 273-nucleotide ribosomal RNA is filed under the name uncultured bacterium. RNAcentral describes it as "partial 16S ribosomal RNA". It matches the Rfam family "Bacterial small subunit ribosomal RNA", at positions 524 to 796 of the family's 1533-position model. The record is from RNAcentral.
GACAGAGGGUGCAAACGUUGCUCGGAAUUACUGGGCGUAAAGCGCGUGUAGGCGGGCAAGCAAGUCAGGUGUGAAAUCCCCGAGCUCAACUCGGGAACUGCACUUGAAACUGCUCGUCUCGAGUACCGGAGAGGAUCGUGGAAUUCCUGGUGUAGAGGUGAAAUUCGUAGAUAUCAGGAGGAACACCGGUGGCGAAGGCGGCGAUCUGGACGGUCACUGACGCUGAGACGCGAAAGCGUGGGGAGCAAACAGGAUUAGAAACCCCAGUAGUCC